Molecule: ribosomal RNA, 253 nt
Filed under: uncultured bacterium
Lineage: Bacteria
Description: partial 16S ribosomal RNA
Rfam family: Bacterial small subunit ribosomal RNA
Source: RNAcentral
UACGUAGGGUGCGAGCGUUGUCCGGAAUUAUUGGGCGUAAAGGGCUCGUAGGCGGUUUGUCGCGUCGGGUGUGAAAACUCAGGGCUUAACCCUGAGCCUGCUCCCGAUACGGGCAGACUAGAGGUAUGCAGGGGAGAACGGAAUUCCUGGUGUAGCGGUGAAAUGCGCAGAUAUCAGGAGGAACACCGGUGGCGAAGGCGGUUCUCUGGGCCGAUACUGACACUGAGGAGCGAAAGCGUGGGGAGCGAACAGG